CGCAGAGUAGAGAAGCGGCCAUCUCGUCACGCUCAUAACGUGAAAAUCGCAAGUUCGAAUCUUGCCUCUGCAACCA
Molecule: transfer RNA, 76 nt
Filed under: bacterium
Lineage: Bacteria
Description: tRNA-Met
Rfam family: tRNA
About the family: Transfer RNA (tRNA) molecules are approximately 80 nucleotides in length.
Source: RNAcentral